This 1025-nucleotide ribosomal RNA is filed under the name human gut metagenome. RNAcentral describes it as "bacterial SSU rRNA". It matches the Rfam family "Bacterial small subunit ribosomal RNA", at positions 506 to 1520 of the family's 1533-position model. The record is from RNAcentral.
UGCCAGCAGCCGCGGUAAUACGGAGGGUGCAAGCGUUGUCCGGAAUCAUUGGGCGUAAAGAGUUCGUAGGUGGUUUGUUAAGUUUGGUGUUAAAUGCAGAGGCUCAACUUCUGUUCGGCAUCGGAUACUGGCAGACUAGAAUGCGGUAGAGGUAAAGGGAAUUCCUGGUGUAGCGGUGAAAUGCGUAGAUAUCAGGAGGAACAUCGGUGGCGUAAGCGCUUUACUGGGCCGUAAUUGACACUGAGGAACGAAAGCCAGGGUAGCAAAUGGGAUUAGAUACCCCAGUAGUCCUGGCCGUAAACGAUGGAUACUAGGUGUUGCGGGUAUCGACCCCUGCAGUGCCGUAGCAAACGCGUUAAGUAUCCCGCCUGGGGAGUACGCACGCAAGUGUGAAACUCAAAGGAAUUGACGGGGACCCGCACAAGCGGUGGAACAUGUGGUUUAAUUCGAAGCAACGCGAAGAACCUUACCAGGGCUUGACAUCUAACAAACCUUUGUGAAAGCAGAGGGUGCUCUUCGGAGAAUGUUAAGACAGGUGGUGCACGGUUGUCGUCAGCUCGUGUCGUGAGAUGUUGGGUUAAGUCCCGCAACGAGCGCAACCCUCGUCGUUAGUUGGUACUAUCGGUAUACUUAUAGUAACCUCUCUAGCGAGACUGCCGGUGAUAAACCGGAGGAAGGUGAGGACGAGGUCAAAUCAUCAUGCCCCUUAUGCUCUGGGCUACACACGUGUUACAAUGGCCGGUACAAUGAGCCGCCAACUCGCGAGAGUGAGCAAAUCUCUAAAAGCCGGUCUCAGUUCGGAUUGCAGUCUGCAACUCGACUGCAUGAAGUCGGAAUCGCUAGUAAACGCAGAUCAGCACGCUGCGUUGAAUACGUUCCCGGGUCUUGUACACACCGCCCGUCACACCAUGGAAGUCGACCACGCCCGAAGUACGUGAGCUAACCGUAAGGAAGCAGCGUCCUAAGGCAGGGUUGGUGACUGGGGUGAAGUCGUAACAAGGUAGCCGUACCGGAAGGUGUGGCUG